This 284-nucleotide ribosomal RNA is filed under the name Ixodes ricinus (castor bean tick). Its description in RNAcentral is "partial small subunit ribosomal RNA". Lineage: Eukaryota; Metazoa; Arthropoda; Arachnida; Ixodida; Ixodidae. The record is from RNAcentral.
AAAAUAAAAUUUGAUUUUAAAAAAAUUUAAUUUUUAAACUAGGAUUAGAUACCCUAUUAUUUUAAGCUUAAUGUUGGUAGUAAGUAAAAAUUAUGAAAUCAUAAAAUUUUGGCGGUAUUUUAAGCUUGUUAGAGGAAUUUGCUCUAUAAUGGAUACAACGCCUAUAUCUUACUUAAUUUUGUAAUUAAAGUCAGUUUGUAUACCACUAUAUUUAAUUAUAUUGAAUAAUUAUAUUUGAGAUUUUUAUAUAAAUAUAUAUUAAGUCAAGGUGCAACAAAUAAUUA